GAUGAACGCUGGCGGCGUGCCUAAUACAUGCAAGUCGAGCGAACAGACGAGGAGCUUGCUCCUCUGACGUUAGCGGCGGACGGGUGAGUAACACGUGGAUAACCUACCUAUAAGACUGGGAUAACUUCGGGAAACCGGAGCUAAUACCGGAUAAUAUAUUGAACCGCAUGGUUCAAUAGUGAAAGACGGUUUUGCUGUCACUUAUAGAUGGAUCCGCGCCGCAUUAGCUAGUUGGUAAGGUAACGGCUUACCAAGGCAACGAUGCGUAGCCGACCUGAGAGGUGGAUCGGCCACCCGGGAACGGAGACACGGUCCAGACCCCUACGGGAGGCAGCAGGAGGGAAUCUUCCGAAAGGGGCGAAAGCCUGCCGGAGCAACGCCGGGGGAGGGAUGAAGGUUUUCGGAUCGUAAAACUCUGUUAUUAGGGAAAAAAAAAUGUGAAAGGAACUUUGCACGUUUUGACGGUACCUAAUCAAAAAGCCCCGGCUAACUACGG
This 496-nucleotide ribosomal RNA is filed under the name uncultured bacterium. RNAcentral describes it as "partial 16S ribosomal RNA". It matches the Rfam family "Bacterial small subunit ribosomal RNA", at positions 28 to 506 of the family's 1533-position model. The record is from RNAcentral.